ACUGAUGGGAGGGCUUCUCUGCCCUGAGUUCCUGGGAUCCUCGGAAUGACGCAGAACCCCCACUCUGACUCCGUGUAGGACCUGGGACCCUUCCUUCCUCUGACUGCAGGCUGCCCCUGCGAAUUAAAGCUGAAACCUGCCUGAGACCUGAUGGGAGAAAUGAUGGGAUGUCUCAGGCUGAUAUCCCUUUCUGGGCCUAUUAAGGAUCGACAGGAGAGGACAAGCCCUAUUGUUCCUGCUUCCCGCGGUCCUCACUCCGGGUCCUCCCUUGCCCCGCUUCUGGCCACUCACGCUAAUGGCAGCAGGUGCUGGAGACUCAUUAGGAGCCGGAAGGUCCUCACCCUGAGUCCCAGCACGACCUGGAAAUCCUCCCUCUGCUGACCGGCAGCCAGCCCCCAGACCUGGGCCCCUACCUCCCCGAGUUUCUGGAGCACAAAGUGAGGCAGUCUUUAGACCAGCCCGGACCCUCCCAGGCCAAGGCGGAGACUCCAUGUGGCCUCUGUUCUGGGGUAUGAAUUCCCCCCAAAGGCCGUCUCCUUCCCACCAGUAGGCCUGGGGGUCUCUGCCUGUGCUGAGCUGAGCCAGAGUCUGGCAGUCCCCGGCCAAGGCCUGCAAUCCCCAAGACCCCAUGAGGGCUCUGCACUACUGGAAAGGUGCCCUCUUCCACCCCAGGGAAAAGCAACCGCCCCGACUGCCUGACUAGACGCGGCGCCUGCUACGGGCCCCCUUCGUGGCAGCCCCCCUGGCCUGGGGUCUGGCCCCCACGCGCUCCUCCUCGUCUAGCAGAGCCUCCUCGUACAGCUGGGGCACGUUGAGGAACUCCCAGACCUCCUCCUCGCUGGCGCGGUUGCCCUUCAUGAAGAUCACGCCCAGGAGCGCCAUCAGGAG
Long non-coding RNA from Mustela lutreola (European mink), 888 nucleotides. RefSeq lists it as uncharacterized. Lineage: Eukaryota; Metazoa; Chordata; Mammalia; Carnivora; Mustelidae. The transcript is spliced from 3 exons. The record is from RefSeq and is a predicted model, not a curated record.